This 275-nucleotide ribosomal RNA is filed under the name uncultured bacterium. Its description in RNAcentral is "partial 16S ribosomal RNA". It matches the Rfam family "Bacterial small subunit ribosomal RNA", at positions 399 to 691 of the family's 1533-position model. The record is from RNAcentral.
GCGUGAGUGAUGACGGCCUUCGGGUUGUAAAGCUCUGUCUUCAGGGACGAUAAUGACGGUACCUGAGGAGGAAGCCACGGCUAACUACGUGCCAGCAGCCGCGGUAAUACGUAGGUGGCGAGCGUUGUCCGGAUUUACUGGGCGUAAAGGGAGCGUAGGCGGACUUUUAAGUGAGAUGUGAAAUACCCGGGCUCAACUUGGGUGCUGCAUUUCAAACUGGAAGUCUAGAGUGCAGGAGAGGAGAAUGGAAUUCCUAGUGUAGCGGUGAAAUGCGU